Molecule: unclassified non-coding RNA, 194 nt
Filed under: uncultured Clitopilus
Lineage: Eukaryota; Fungi; Basidiomycota; Agaricomycetes; Agaricales; Entolomataceae
Description: sequence contains ITS2
Source: RNAcentral
AAUUCUCAACUAUACAAGUUUUUCGAAGCGUGUAUGGCUUGGAUCUUGGGGUUUGCGGGCUUUAUAAGUCGGCUAUCCUUAAACGCAUUAGCAAAGCUUUUGUUGCUAACCUCUGGUGUGAUAAUUAUCUACGCCAUUGCGAGGUGACGUCUUGAGGCUUAGCUUCUAAUCGUCCUGACAGACAAUAUUUGACA